AGAAGACAUGUAUGUAUUGGAGAUAAAAUUUUACACAGUGGAUAGAUUUGAUAAACUUUACAGAGUAGACGGAAAAGUUUAUGAAAAACGUGAUGCCUGCCUUUCGCAACCGCUGUCUCAUGAACGUAUACUGGAUUGGGAAGAACAGGUUUAUAGAUUUAUUUACAAAUAGCCGCCAAUAGUCAUUGGCAAGAAUAAAAAAAAAAAGAAAAACAAUAAAAAAAUAUACAAGGUUUUAUUAUGGUUUAUGAAAAACGUAUUUGAUUUAAUUAAUCCUUAAUUUAGGAGCUGGGGCUAUCUUCAAAUUAUACUUUCAGACCAUAUUUUUGUUCGUUAGUUCUACAAAUAUUCUAAACCCACUUUCUCUUUGUUUCUUCUGAAUAAACUGACCUGCUAUUCGGCAGAGAUGGGUCCGAUUACUUUCAAUGUAAUUGAUUAAAUUACAAUUACUUUGUCAUUUGUACGAUUAAAUUAAAUUAAUGAUUACAUCAUUUUUGAAAGUAUCUGAUUAAAUUAAUGAUUACAUUGACAAAGUAAUCAUGAUUACAUCUUGAUUACAAUGAAUUAAAAACAAAACAUUUAAUGAUGUGAAUGAAUAUUCAAUAUAAACUAUAGCAUUUUUGAGAAAGUAUUUCAUUUUGUUCAAUUAUAAAAUGAUAACUUUAAAUUAAACUUCAUUUAUUUAAAUAAACACCAAAUUUCACUACAUAUUUAUACAUUACACUUUAUCACCAAUGAUCUCUGAAUUAUUUUGAAUUUAAUUUAAUAAAGAUAUAUCAUAAUCAAGAGUUUUUUGUUUGUCUUCUGACCGCUCUUUCAUAAUUUAUAUGUAUUCCAAGUUGCAGUUUAUGGAAGUUUAAAUAUGGAUGAAAUAAAGUUACCAGUUAAAACUAUGUUAAAUUUUAAUAGAAAUGUUAAAUCAAAUUGUAAACAAUAUGUAAGAUGGUAAGUACUAAAAAUCAUUGCAUUUUACAUGUCCAGUCCAAAUACAAAAAAAAAAUAAACAACAUAUUUGUCCAGCUUUUAAAUAAUGUGCUAAUUAGAUAAAUUUUCAUGUCUGAUUUAUCUUUUAUCAUAUAUAUUCCCUACAGCUAUACUCAAUUGGUAAUUGCAAUAAAAACAAACAUUAAUUAGUCUCCUACCUGUCAAUUCAAAGUUGACAAAAAUCACAAAAAUUAACAAAAGAUUAUAAUUCAGGGUUAAAGAAAAGUAUUACUUGAAUAUAUAACAGUUAUUAUCAAAAAUUAAUAUGAAGAUCAUUAUAAAACGAUGAAUAUACAUGUAUGUACAAUACCUUUUACCAAAAAGAUAUAUAAUUGUAUUAUAUGUCUCUGCUUAGGCUAAUGAUGACUUUUCAGUACUGUUACUUUAUUUUUUACUAAAGUAGACAGGCUUGAAGUAACCAAACCAUUUUAGUAUGUUUAAAAUUUAUCAUAUAUAUGAAUAACAAAAUGACCAAAAACACAUUUUAGAUUUUUUUCAUUGUAAUCAGAAUGUAAUCAAAAAGUAAUCAUGAUUACAGGGUAUUUUGAAAAGUAAUUGAUUAAAUUAAAUUACAUGUAAUCAGAUUUUUGGCUGAUUAAUGAUUACACUGAUUACUUGAAAAAUAGUAAUCAAUUACAGCUGAUUAACGAUUACAAUUACAAUUACCCCAAGUCUGCUAUUCGGUCAGCAGGUAUAUAUCUCGCUUGUAUCAAUUCUUUGUAACUUUUUCAUAUAUUUUACAAUUAUAUUUCUUUAAUCUUUAAAAUAUUCUCUACAUCCAUUUUCACUUAGAACAGCCAAAAACUGCAUUUGCAGAUGGCUGUAUUUUUAGCAAAUGCAAAAGAAACGCUGAAACAUUGAAUCGUACGAAUAUUUGACUAUUUGAAUACCGGGCAAACAUAUAGUACAAAUGAUAUGCUUUCGGAUUGUACAAGAAAUACAAAUAUUAAAGGCUGGUGCAUUACAAAAAAUAAUGCUAUGGUAAAUGCCACUCCAUUAAUAAUAUAAAACCAACAAUUGAUGGCGAUAUUAAUUAUAAAAAAUGUUUUGUAGAUUAGACAUAAGCAGAAAAAUGAUGAUCUUCGAGAACAAAUAACAAAAAAUGAGAUAGAUAAAGCAAAGCACAAUUAAGCAACUGAUUGAUGAAAAAGAUCAGGAAAUAAAUAAAGAGAAAUGUUUGAGAUUAGAGAAAGAGACAUCUGUUACCACAUUGGAACGUGAGAAAUCAAAACUCAUAAAAGAAAACAAAAAAUUAAUGGGUAAAUCCAAAGUGUCUGUGAUUUUGUGAAAGACGUAUUAAAGUUAAUGAUGACACGCUAUGUAACCACAUUUAUAAAGGCAACCUCAGCAGAAGAUUAAGUAUGGAAAUAUGACAUUGUCUGACUGUAAGAUCAGCAAUAGGAGUGCGUAAUAUCGACUAUGUUGGAUAUACUACUGUAUACUUACGUCUCGAAUGAAAAGGACAUACAUACAAUUCACAUAUUUUGGAACAAAAGAAAUUAUAUAAUAAUUCAGAGGGGUUAUUAUAAAACCUAAUGGAAAGACACUACAAAGACACUGCCCAAUAAUUCCUUAUUUAUCAACCAACAAGAUGGUCUGUUACGUCAAUCGGUAGUAAUAACAGUUA
This 2611-nucleotide long non-coding RNA is filed under the name Mytilus galloprovincialis (Mediterranean mussel). Lineage: Eukaryota; Metazoa; Mollusca; Bivalvia; Mytilida; Mytilidae. The record is from RNAcentral.